GUCCGUUUCAAAUUCUGAAACAGUUUUAAAACCGCUAUUCCAUUUCAAAGUUAGAAACCACAUUGAUUCGGUUUCAAAAUCCUUUUCAAUUUAAAAACUGAUAUUUUUUGUUUUAAUUUUUCUAAAACGAAUUUCUAUUUUCAAUCGGUUUCUAAAUUGUAAAAACAAAUAAAACACUUUUUAAAACCAAAAUAUAUUCAGUUUUUAAAUAGAAACAAAAUUUCUUUUUUAAAUCCGUUUUUAAGCAUAAUAAAAUAAAAUAAAAACAUUUUAUUUUGUAACCAAAUACUUUUUUGUUUCAAAUUAAAAAUGAAAUUCAAUUUCUAAUCCGUUUUAAAUUACCGUAAAAAUUUUUAUUUUUAUUUAUUUAAUGCAUUAUUUUUUAUAGUGAAGCAUAUAAUAUAUUAUCAAAUCUCAAUAAUACAAGAAAAUUAAAAAUUCUAUCAUAGAUAAAAUAAAUAAAACAUUGGAGAAAAGGAUAUCUUUAUUAAAUUAUGAAGUUCAUAAAUUUAAUAUAUGCAAAGAAAAGUAUACACUUGCAAUGCAAUUGAAACCCUAAGAAAUCCAAUAUAGACUCCAACCAACAAACUUCAGUAUUGGGCAAUAAUUAUAUCACAACAAAUAUAGAUUACAAUAUCACAAAAGUGAACCAAGUCAUGUCUGGCCAUAUUUUCUCGGUAAAUACCCAUGCUAGCAAGAUCUGGACCAUUCCACUCCAUGUUUAUUCAUGAAUAUUCUGGUCCCAUAACAAUAUCUCUUCAAACAUUAAUUAUGCCCCAUAGUCAAAUCAAGGAUAAAGCCAUAAUCUGCAUCAAGGAAAAGCACCUCAAUGAGUAAAAGUGAAUUCAAAAUUACUCUUAAGUAAAUAGAAAGCAGGACAAUUUUCUUUCCAUUAGUUCAAUAUAAAGGACUUAAAUCUGAAAAUUUGUAAGUAUCAGUAGUAGCAAAUAUUAGUUUAAUCAAUCAUAGCCCUCAUAGUCAACAGAACGCAGAAACCACCUAU
Molecule: unclassified non-coding RNA, 1003 nt
Filed under: Hevea brasiliensis (rubber tree)
Lineage: Eukaryota; Viridiplantae; Streptophyta; Magnoliopsida; Malpighiales; Euphorbiaceae
Source: RNAcentral